UACGGAAGGUUCGGGCGUUAUCCGGAUUUAUUGGGUUUAAAGGGAGCGCAGGCGGCAGUCCAAGCGUGACGUUAAAUGUCGGGGCUCACCCCCGUUGUGCGUCGCGAACUGUUCUGCUUGAGUAGGCGGCAGGGAGGCGGAAUUCGCGGUGUAGCGGUGAAAUGCUUAGAUAUCGCGAGGAACUCCGAUAGCGCAGGCAGCCUCCCGUUGCCUUACUGACGCUCAUGCUCGAAGGUGCGGGUAUC
RNAcentral lists this ribosomal RNA (245 nucleotides) under uncultured Bacteroidales bacterium. Its description in RNAcentral is "partial 16S ribosomal RNA". It matches the Rfam family "Bacterial small subunit ribosomal RNA", at positions 524 to 769 of the family's 1533-position model. Lineage: Bacteria; Pseudomonadati; Bacteroidota; Bacteroidia; Bacteroidales. The record is from RNAcentral.